CAGCUCGUGUCGUGAGAUUGUUCGGUUAAGUCCGACUAACGAGCGCCAACCCUCGCUGUAUGUUACAUGUGUCAUACAGGACCGCCGGUAUCAAGCCGGAGGAAGGUGGGGAUGACGUCAAGUCCGCAUGGCCUUUAUGUCCGGGGCUACACACACGCUACAAUGGUCGGUACAAUGGGUUGCUAAGCCGCGAGGUGGAGCCAAUCCCCCAAAGCCGGCCUCAGUUCAGAUUGCAGGCUGCAACUCGCCUGCGUGAAGCUGGAGUUGCUAGUAAACGCGCGUCAGCUAUAGUGCGUUGAAUACGUUCUCGGGCCUU
RNAcentral lists this ribosomal RNA (316 nucleotides) under uncultured Anaerolineaceae bacterium. Its description in RNAcentral is "bacterial SSU rRNA". It matches the Rfam family "Bacterial small subunit ribosomal RNA", at positions 1056 to 1382 of the family's 1533-position model. Lineage: Bacteria; Bacillati; Chloroflexota; Anaerolineae; Anaerolineales; Anaerolineaceae. The record is from RNAcentral.